CGACAAUGGGGAAACCCUGAUCGAGCAAUGCCGCGUGAACGAAGAAGGUCUUCGGAUUGUAAAGUUCUGUUAAUUGAGAUGAAUGGUGUGUGGAGGAAAUGCCACACAUUUGACAGUAUCAGUUUAGAAAGCCCCGGCUAACUACGUGCCAGCAGCCGCGGUAAUACGUAGGGGGCGMSCGUUAUCCGGAAUUAUUGGGCGUAAAGAGUGCGUAGGCGGUUUGUUAAGUCAUUUGUAAAAGAUCUCAGCUCAACUGAGUAAGGCGAAUGAAACUGGCAGACUUGAAUACGGUAGAGGUAAGUGGAAUUCCAUGUGUAGCGGUGGAAUGCGUAGAUAUAUGGAGGAACACCAAUGGCGAAGGCAACUUACUGGGCCGGAAUUGACGCUGAGGCACGAAAGCGUGGGGAGYAAACAGGAUUAGAUACCCUGGUAGUCCACGCCGUAAACGAUGAGAACUAAGUGUUGGGGUAAAAGUCAGUGCUGAAGUUAACGCAAUAAGUUCUCCG
Molecule: ribosomal RNA, 506 nt
Filed under: uncultured delta proteobacterium
Lineage: Bacteria; Deltaproteobacteria
Description: bacterial SSU rRNA
Rfam family: Bacterial small subunit ribosomal RNA
Source: RNAcentral